ACCAUAAUUGAUUUGAUCAAUUACACCUGUGUUUACCCUGCUAAGACAUGUCAACAUGGCUGCUGUGAUUUAGCAGCUAAAGAGCCACAUUAUUCCUUCAGGAGAAGCUAAGAGACGAGCAACAGUUUGUGCUUCUUAUGUAUUAGCAGUAGAUUUUAGUCAGAGAGCUAAGCAUCCAUUUCAUAGAAAGAUAGUUACCCGGUUGUUUAGCAAGACUUCCUGCUGUCUUAAUGGUAACCGGCCGGCUGCCCUCUUUGUUUGAUCAGGACAGCAGCGCAACGUGGGAAACAGGCAAAUAAGACUCUCUCCGAACACACCUGAGGCGCAUCACAUAAUAACAAGAGAUAACAAUACCAUGCGUGGAUCCAGCCAGCGGACUGUUGAGUAAGGUGCCACCAAAUCCUACACACUGUACCUUUAAUAUGUAAGCAUCAUUUUCAUGUUGUAGCUAGGUGGAGCUAAUUCUAGCUACUUCAUAUAAUGUUGGGUAGUUUAAUAUAUAACAGUGCAUAAUUAUUUUGUUGAUCAUAUAUUUUGUGUGUAAAAUCCCAAUAUGUAAAGUGACCAGUAACUAUAGCUGUAAAUACAUUCAGUGGAGUAGAAAGUACCCUACUGUAUUUCCCUAAAUGUAGUGGAGUAGAAGUAGAAGGUGGCUGCAAACCAAAUCAAAUAGGGAUCUGUGGUCUAAUCCACGUUUGUCAUGGAAGAAACCCCCCAUU
Molecule: long non-coding RNA, 719 nt
Organism: Sebastes umbrosus (honeycomb rockfish)
Lineage: Eukaryota; Metazoa; Chordata; Actinopteri; Perciformes; Sebastidae
Exons: 3
Source: RefSeq, a predicted model, not a curated record